This 73-nucleotide non-coding RNA is filed under the name Legionella shakespearei DSM 23087. RNAcentral's name for it is "Legionella RNA 69". It matches the Rfam family "Legionella RNA 69". Lineage: Bacteria; Pseudomonadati; Pseudomonadota; Gammaproteobacteria; Legionellales; Legionellaceae. The record is from Rfam by way of RNAcentral.
AGACAGCGCUAUCGCGCUUCCUCAGCCCGAACAGCAUCGAGGUAACGACUGGAUAAAACAAUCUUAACUCACG